GGAUCAUUGGUAGGAAUGGUGCCAGAGAUCUUUGUUGCAAUUUACACUGGAAUCCUUAUAGAGACCUUGGCAGAUGCUUCAAAUGACGGGCAUUCCCUUUCAGCUCCACAAAUUGUUUUCAAUGUGUUUCUGUGCAACAGUAGCCACUACUAUUAUCUUUACAGUAUUUGCAAAGAGGCAGCUCAAAGUAUUGCAAGACGAACCACUUCUCGCAUAGGUUCUGAAAUAUAGUUAAGAGUCAAGGGAAUGCUAUCUGCUACCCUGGACUUUUCAGGAUUGCGUAUUUGAGCAUGAUUAGGGCGGAUGAGGUUUUAUUUUAUUGAACAACUUCAUCCAUUGAAGGUGUUAUUGCAUGACAAUUUCAGUGGUGCUAUACAGACGUCGUGGAAGAGGACAAACGUCUAACAUCGUAUAGACUGUAGAGCCAUCUUGCUUAUUCUUUUUUCUAUUUUGG
This 454-nucleotide unclassified non-coding RNA is filed under the name Hevea brasiliensis (rubber tree). Lineage: Eukaryota; Viridiplantae; Streptophyta; Magnoliopsida; Malpighiales; Euphorbiaceae. The record is from RNAcentral.